AGGUCAGUCACGAAAAAUAAAAUAUAUAUUGGACUGUACUGGUAAUAUAGGUCAGUCACGAAGAAUAGAAUGAUAUUGGACUGUACUGGUAAUAGAGGUCAGUCAAAAAAAAGAAAUAUAUAUUGGACUGUACUGGUAAUAUAGGUCAGUCACGAAAAUAUCUGAAAGUCUGUGCCCCAUUGUUGACGAAUAUAAUAUCGUGAGGACUUUAUCAAUAGUCACGGUCCCUGGCCCCUCCCACAUAAAAAUCAUUAGCAAGGUCACUGCAGGCAAUAGCUUCAGCAUUGUUAUUGUAUAAACGUGUCUUAAACAUUAUAAACGGCCCUAUUUGUGGGGUUACAUUGGGUUCUUGCUGGGGUAAUGAUGUCCAUGUCCGAUUCUGCGUUUUGUGGACUUGUAAAUCAGUCCAGCAGUGACAUUGCGUUUUGUGGACAUGUAAGUCUGUCCCGCAGUACCAAGUUUCACCCCAGCAAUUACCAAUAAGACCUGCACGUGACCUUAAAGUAAAUAGCUAUGCAAGUGUGGUCGAGACAAAACGCGAUGUAUUCAUUAGAAGAAGGAAAUCUACGAAGAGGAGCUGGAACUGUCUGUCCAGCUCUCGUUUAUGAAACAGUGGGCGAUUUGAAAGACGUCUCCUGAACAGAUCGCCCAUUGUUCACUGAAGCAGCAUUCGAAUUGUCUCCAAUUUUUUCAGGUGGAUUGCUCCAUCUCGUGUGGUUUCGCUGUCCCGUCCCAAGAAUCGAGCCAAUGCGACCGAGGCCACUUCUGAGAGACAAAUAUUCAGGAUGCCAGAUUUGUGGAACACAUGAGGCCAGUAGUCAAGAGCCAUGAUCAGGGAACAGCAGUUCCCAACGGAAUUGACCCUUUUCUUGUUGUAAUUCAUGCUGUUGGCUCAGAAUGGGUUGACACUCGCCUGUUUUCGACCCUGAAAAUUCAACAUCGAACAUUGUUACUCUUUGUUAAAAGUGAACCUUGCAAAAUAUGUGCUUAUUCCUGAAAUCAAUAGCACUUCAUGUAUGUACUCGCUGAUCCAGAAUAUUGCUAUUUCUUGUUCCGUUUUCAAUGUGGCAAUCCAUUUACCGUAUCUGAGCUAUUUCACAGCACAAGAAGUGCAACAUUACAGCAAUGGAGCUAUUUCUUCAUCACGGCAAAAAUGUGUUUCUACAUUGUUUUACUCAAAUGAUGCAUGGAUGAGCCUUAUUGAUAUAUUUGUUUUCAAGAGGAAUUGGUUGUAGGUUUUCUUUCUUUUUUCUUAAGGCAGGCCUAAUUUAACAGAAGGCCUAAAUUUUAGGUAGGAUAUUAUUUCUACUAUAGGCCCAUAUCAGUUUUGAGAUCAAUUUCCUCUUGAAGACAAUAAACGUCAAUCGAGUCUCGGCACCAUUUUGAUUGGGCGGUUUUGGGCUAAAAUACAGUACAAGAGAAUGCUCCAUUGGUGUUAACAGAAUAUGUCAUUGUUUUGGUCAGCAAGCAGUUCUUGCCACCUUGAAAGCGGUCACGGUUACUUACGACUUGUACAUUGUUCAAUUGUUAUUAUGCUAUUGUCAUUUGCCUUUGCCCCCCCCCCCCCCCCUCCUUAUCGACACUCACAGUGCACCACCCUCCAUCCCAUGCCCCGCAUGCGCACUGACCCAACAUCUGAUCCCUUGACACGCUUGCUCAAGCGGCUCAAGCGGCGUCAGCAGUAUCAACGUUGUGUUAUUGUAUUCCAAGUUUUGCAUUAUUCAUAUGUAUGUACUUGCCAAAUAAAUGUUGUCAUAUCAUAA
This is a long non-coding RNA of Lineus longissimus, 1763 nucleotides long. RefSeq lists it as uncharacterized. NCBI's taxonomy places the organism in Eukaryota, Metazoa, Nemertea, Pilidiophora, Heteronemertea, Lineidae. The transcript has 2 exons. The record is from RefSeq and is a predicted model, not a curated record.